This 588-nucleotide ribosomal RNA is filed under the name Turbo bruneus. RNAcentral describes it as "partial 16S ribosomal RNA". It matches the Rfam family "Bacterial large subunit ribosomal RNA", at positions 1808 to 2608 of the family's 2925-position model. Lineage: Eukaryota; Metazoa; Mollusca; Gastropoda; Trochida; Turbinidae. The record is from RNAcentral.
CAAAAACAUCGCUCUUUGAAGUGGUUUACCAUUAUUAAUAAUUGUAUAUAAAGAGUCGAACCUGCCCGGUGACAAUGUUUGUUAAACGGCCGCGGUACUCUGACCGUGCAAAGGUAGCAUAAUCAUUUGCCUUUUAAUUGAAGGCUUGUAUGAAUGGUUUGACGAGAACUAAACUGUCUCUUCUUAAAUGUAUAAAAAUUAAUUUUUAGGUGAAGAAGCCUGUAUUUAAUUGAGGGACAAGAAGACCCCGUUGAGCUUUAGUGAAUUAAUAAAGAUCUAUGAGAAUUAAAUUUUAAUGUCACAUUUAUUUGUAGAUACUCUUUAUUAAUAAAUCUUUAGUUGGGGCGACUGAGGAACAUAAAUAGCUUCCUUUAAAUAAAAAUAAAUUUAAGGAAAUCAAUCUAUUAUUUUGGAUCCAGUAUUUACUGAUUAAAGGAAAAAGUUACCACGGGGAUAACAGCGUAAUCUUUCUGGAGAGUUCUUAUCGAAAGAAGGGUUUGCGACCUCGAUGUUGGAUUAAGAUAUCCUAGAGAUGCAGAAGUUUCUAAUGGUUAGUCUGUUCGACUAUUAAAAUCUUACGUGAUCUGA